UAAUUGCAGCCUCUCUAAAUUUGUUUGCCCCAUUAAUACCUGCCACUAUCAAUUAUUUAAUUCCUCCUCAGCUGUUUGAAUGCUCGUUUCAAACUGAGCCUUACAUGGAUUUAUUUGUUUGUUUCUGACCAGAAGAUAGCAGUUUUUUAAACCACAAGAUGUGUUUUCUACUCCAUGAGCCCUGUAAUUUGAAGCAAUUAAUUAACCUAAAGGCUGAUGCAAAUGGCAGUGAGUGACCAGGAAUCGCUGUUCAGAAGUGACCUCUCCCACACACCUUCAUGCUGGCUCUGCUGGAACCCUGCUAGGGCUCCUUCCCACAAGAUGUGUCUGAACAGGAGGCAUCCAGGCUCUGCCCUUUUCCAGCAGCAGGAAGCGGUUUCAGAGUUCCUCCUUUGGGUUCAUGCCACCCAAACAUGGAUAUUUUUCUGGUAAAUACAGCAUGCAUGCAGCCCGCUUGACCUCGGUAAAUACUGAGUGAGCCUGUGUGUAAACUUGAGGCCAGCACACAGUUGGUGACUUGGAGAGGCUGCUCUGGCAGCAGGGACCUGCCAUCAAUCACAACCUGCUUCUAGGGUGUCAGCCCUUGCAAGCAGAGCAGGCUCUGUUAGUCAGUAAAAACUCCAGAUGAGGAAGAGCUUACUGGUGACAAAGCAGCACUGCUGUCUGAGGAAAUUAAUCUGUGGCACUGCAAUUUGUUUGUGUAACAACAAAUCCAUACCUUUCCCCAAAUUAGUCACUGUCAGUUGUUUUCCUGGUUGCUAGCAGGUAUCACCUGAAUCUUCCUAACUAGACUGAGUCCCAAAUUGUUCCAAACUACCCCCUGGUCAGCUUGUUAUAGAGGAGUGAAUUCUCCAUUCACAAACUCUGUAAAUUUGUUUCCUUCAUUAAAUCCCUACUUUGGGAUGUCCAUGUUUUUAAA
Passer domesticus (house sparrow) is the source of this 919-nucleotide long non-coding RNA. RefSeq lists it as uncharacterized. The transcript has 2 exons. The record is from RefSeq and is a predicted model, not a curated record. NCBI's taxonomy places the organism in Eukaryota, Metazoa, Chordata, Aves, Passeriformes, Passeridae.